UGGCUCUCGCAUCGAUGAAGAACGCAGCGAAAUGCGAUAAGUAAUGUGAAUUGCAGAUUUUCAGUGAAUCAUCGAAUCUUUGAACGCACAUUGCGCCUCCGGGUAUUCCUGGAGGCAUGCCUGUUCGAGCGUCGUUAAAGACCAUAAGGCUUUGCCUUGCGAUGAGUUUCUGGUGUCUUCUCGACGUCAGGGACUUCAAACUGAUUGGCGUCUGAAGUUAGCCCAAGCACAGCGAUAUGUGUUCGGUCUCUAGCUGAUGAUUGCCCGUACCCAAAAUCAUUAAUUGGUCGACCUCGGAUCAGGCAAGAUUACCCGCUGA
Molecule: unclassified non-coding RNA, 319 nt
Filed under: uncultured fungus
Lineage: Eukaryota; Fungi
Description: partial contains 5.8S ribosomal RNA and internal transcribed spacer 2
Rfam family: 5.8S ribosomal RNA (bases 1-134)
Source: RNAcentral